Malania oleifera is the source of this 106-nucleotide small nucleolar RNA. The record is from RefSeq and is a predicted model, not a curated record. NCBI's taxonomy places the organism in Eukaryota, Viridiplantae, Streptophyta, Magnoliopsida, Santalales, Ximeniaceae.
ACUUGGUGAUGUGGGCAUUUGUCCAAAAGGUCCCUAAAGCGCUCCCAUGUCUCAAAAAAUAGCUUACCAUCCAAUUGUAAGAAACCAGUGAUGGCCUUCCUCAGCU